This is a long non-coding RNA of Bubalus bubalis (water buffalo), 1235 nucleotides long. RefSeq lists it as uncharacterized. The record is from RefSeq and is a predicted model, not a curated record. The transcript has 5 exons. Lineage: Eukaryota; Metazoa; Chordata; Mammalia; Artiodactyla; Bovidae.
UCCAAAGUGUACGGAGUAAGUGGCAGAGCUCCAGUUGUAAGCCAGGUUUUUCUUUUUUCAAACCUUUAGCUUUUGAGAAGUACUGCCUCUGCUUUUCUGGAGCUUACAAAGGUAAUUGGAAAACAUAGCCUCUGAAAUGACAUCAGAGCAUCUUGAAAUCAUUAAUUAGCAAAUGCAGAUUAACCUGGUUGGUGUGAAUGGAAGUGCUGAAUGGCUGGGAGGGAAACCAGAGGAAGAGCUAUGUGGGGGAAAGACAGGGCAGAGUAGAGUGAUCUGAGGUGGGUUCACCCAGACUUCCUAGAGACGACUUUUUAACUAGGUUUCAGCUGAUAUAUGCUGGAUGAUGGUGAAGAAAAAUAACGGCAGCAGUGUGCCCGUUGGAGAACAUGCACCUUCUGUAAGACUCCUCUGAAGCUACAGUGGCCACAACCCAGGUCUGACCAGAGACAUAGGUAGGACUUUCCUGUGCGGAGCUUCCAGGAAGCCAUUGUUCUCCUGAUAAAAAGAGGUUAUCCCAUCAGCAAAGGGCCAUUUUGAGAAGUUGUCUGGCCAUUCACACAACGUGUGGACUGCUGGGGUUCUUCCAGAAUUGGUACAAAACUGGAAGAAGAGAUAUGUGGUCUCGGAGGUACCUAACAGGGUGGCAGUCUUGAAGAUAGCAACCUGAGUUUCCAGUGGGAGACUUGGCCCUGGUUCUGAAGAAGGCAGAGCAGACCUUACUCAAAUCAUUAUGUUUAUGUGUUCUAACUUGUCUGGAGGCUACCUGGAGGACCAACACAAGCUCCUGGAAUCAAGGAAAUCUCUUCAAGGCACUAACGAACAUGGCCAAAGGAACUGAGACUUCAGUAACUAUACACAACAAGAAAUAUGGCCUCUACAAAAAUCAGUAAAUAAAUGGACUUGUCAAUAAAUAGAAAUUUAUUUACUUCUCAGUAAAUAAAUGGACUUUUCAAUAAAUUGAAAAGUCAGUAAACAAAUGGACAACUGCAGCCUUCAGCGAUCAGAACAGCAAACCCUGGAGAAGAAAGAAUAUAUGAUUUCUCAAUUUAUAAAAUUUAAAUAUACAAUUGUCAACAAAACUCACAAAUUAUACAAAGAUACAAGGAAAUCUGGCCCAUUCAAAGGAUAAAAAUAAAUUGACAGAAACUCUCCACGAAGAUGGAGAAGGCAAUGGCAACCCACUCCAGUACUCUUGCCUGGAAAAUCCCAUGGAUGGAGGGGCCUGGUGGGCUGCA